This 556-nucleotide unclassified non-coding RNA is filed under the name uncultured Solicoccozyma. Its description in RNAcentral is "sequence contains ITS1, 5.8S rRNA gene, ITS2". The stretch from base 165 to 318 matches the Rfam family "5.8S ribosomal RNA". Lineage: Eukaryota; Fungi; Basidiomycota; Tremellomycetes; Filobasidiales; Piskurozymaceae. The record is from RNAcentral.
GUGAAUUGAAUAUGUUAGCGGACCUCUUCGGAGUCCCUAGCAUCAAAUCAUAUCCAUAACACCUGUGAACUGUAAGGCUGUCUUGAAAACGAAAGUGAUUAGAGCGCCUGCCCAUUUUAUACAAACAUUAAAGUAACAAACGUAGUCUUAUUAUAAUCUAAUAAAACUUUCAACAACGGAUCUCUUGGCUCUCGCAUCGAUGAAGAACGCAGCGAAAUGCGAUAAGUAAUGUGAAUUGCAGAAUUCAGUGAAUCAUCGAAUCUUUGAACGCACCUUGCGCUCUUUGGUAUUCCGAAGAGCAUGCCUGUUUGAGUGUCAUGAAAAUAUCAACCUUGACUUGGGUUUAGUGCUCUUGUCUUGGCUUGGAUUUGGCUGUUUGCCGCUCGAAAGAGUCGGCUCAGCUUAAAAGUAUUAGCUGGAUCUGUCUUUGAGACUUGGUUUGACUUGGCGUAAUAAGUUAUUUCGCUGAGGACAAUCUUCGGAUUGGCCGAGUUUCUGGGACGUUUGUCCGCUUUCUAAUACAAGUUCUAGCUUGCUAGACAUGACUUUUUUAUUA